AGGGUAUAGACCCGAAACCCGGUGAUCUAGCCAUGGGCAGGUUGAAGGUUGGGUAACACUAACUGGAGGACCGAACCGACUAAUGUUGAAAAAUUAGCGGAUGACUUGUGGCUGGGGGUGAAAGGCCAAUCAAACCGGGAGAUAGCUGGUUCUCCCCGAAAGCUAUUUAGGUAGCGCCUCGUGAACUCAUCUGUGGGGGUAGAGCACUGUUUCGGCUAGGGGGUCAUCCCGACUUACCAACCCGAUGCAAACUACGAAUACCACAGAAUGUUAUCACGGGAGACACACGGCGGGUGCUAACGUCCGUCGUGAAGAGGGAAACAACCCAGACCGCCAGCUAAGGUCCCAAAGUCACAGUUAAGUGGGAAACGAUGUGGGAAGGCCCAGACAGCCAGGAUGUUGGCUUAGAAGCAGCCAUCAUUUAAAGAAAGCGUAAUAGCUCACUGGUCGAGUCGGCCUGCGCGGAAGAUGUAACGGGGCUAAACUGUGCACCGAAGCUGCGGCAGCGACACUGUGUGUUGUUGGGUAGGGGAGCGUUCUGUAAGCCGUUGAAGGUGGUCUGUGAGGACUGCUGGAGGUAUCAGAAGUGCGAAUGCUGACAUAAGUAACGAUAAUGCGGGUGAAAAACCCGCACGCCGGAAGACCAAGGGUUCCUGUCCAACGUUAAUCGGGGCAGGGUGAGUCGACCCCUAAGGCGAGGCCGAAAGGCGUAGUCGAUGGGAAACAGGUUAAUAUUCCUGUACUUGGUGUUACUGCGAAGGGGGGACGGAGAAGGCUAUGUUAUCCGGGCGACGGUCGUCCCGGUUUAAGCGUGUAGGUGUGUGGACCAGGCAAAUCCGGUUCACUUUAACACUGAGGCGUGAUGACGAGGCACUACGGUGCUGAAGUAACAAAUGCCCUGCUUCCAGGAAAAGCCUCUAAGCAUCAGGUAACAUCAAAUCGUACCCCAAACCGACACAGGUGGUCAGGUAGAGAAUACCAAGGCGCUUGAGAGAACUCGGGUGAAGGAACUAGGCAAAAUGGUGCCGUAACUUCGGGAGAAGGCACGCUGACAUGUAGGUGAAGCCCCUGCGGGUGGAGCUGAAGUCAGUCGAAGAUACCAGCUGGCUGCAACUGUUUAUUAAAAACACAGCACUGUGCAAACACGAAAGUGGACGUAUACGGUGUGACGCCUGCCCGGUGCCGGAAGGUUAAUUGAUGGGGUCAGCGCAAGCGAAGCUCCUGAUCGAAGCCCCGGUAAACGGCGGCCGUAACUAUAACGGUCCUAAGGUAGCGAAAUUCCUUGUCGGGUAAGUUCCGACCUGCACGAAUGGCGUAAUGAUGGCCAGGCUGUCUCCACCCGAGACUCAGUGAAAUUGAACUCGCUGUGAAGAUGCAGUGUACCCGCGGCAAGACGGAAAGACCCCGUGAACCUUUACUAUAGCUUGACACUGAACAUUGAGCCUUGAUGUGUAGGAUAGGUGGGAGGCUUUGAAGUGUGGACGCCAGUCUGCAUGGAGCCAACCUUGAAAUACCACCCUUUAAUGUUUGAUGUUCUAACGUAGACCCGUCAUCCGGGUUGCGGACAGUGUCUGGUGGGUAGUUUGACUGGGGCGGUCUCCUCCCAAAGAGUAACGGAGGAGCACGAAGGUUAGCUAAUCCUGGUCGGACAUCAGGAGGUUAGUGCAAAGGCAUAAGCUAGCUUGACUGCGAGAGUGACGGCUCGAGCAGGUGCGAAAGCAGGUCUUAGUGAUCCGGUGGUUCUGAAUGGAAGGGCCAUCGCUCAACGGAUAAAAGGUACUCCGGGGAUAACAGGCUGAUACCGCCCAAGAGUUCAUAUCGACGGCGGUGUUUGGCACCUCGAUGUCGGCUCAUCACAUCCUGGGGCUGAAGUAGGUCCCAAGGGUAUGGCUGUUCGCCAUUUAAAGUGGUACGCGAGCUGGGUUUAGAACGUCGUGAGACAGUUCGGUCCCUAUCUGCCGUGGGCGCUGGAGAACUGAGGGGGGCUGCUCCUAGUACGAGAGGACCGGAGUGGACGCAUCACUGGUGUUCGGGUUGUCAUGCCAAUGGCAUUGCCCGGUAGCUACAUGCGGAAGAGAUAAGUGCUGAAAGCAUCUAAGCACGAAACUUGCCCCGAGAUGAGUUCUCCCUGAGACUUAAAGUCUCCUGAAGGAACGUUGAAGACGACGACGUUGAUAGGCCGGGUGUGUAAGUGCAGCGAUGCAUUGAGCUAACCGGUACUAAUGAACCGUGAGGCUUAACCUUACAACGCCAAAGAUGUUUUGGUGUGAAGAGAGAGACGAUAUUCAGCUUGUU
This 2295-nucleotide ribosomal RNA is filed under the name Shimwellia blattae DSM 4481 = NBRC 105725. Its description in RNAcentral is "bacterial LSU rRNA". It matches the Rfam family "Bacterial large subunit ribosomal RNA", at positions 704 to 2925 of the family's 2925-position model. Lineage: Bacteria; Pseudomonadati; Pseudomonadota; Gammaproteobacteria; Enterobacterales; Enterobacteriaceae. The record is from RNAcentral.